Molecule: small nucleolar RNA, 77 nt
Filed under: Sciurus vulgaris (Eurasian red squirrel)
Lineage: Eukaryota; Metazoa; Chordata; Mammalia; Rodentia; Sciuridae
Description: Small nucleolar RNA U105B (ENSSVLG00005019817.1)
Rfam family: Small nucleolar RNA U105B
Source: Rfam by way of RNAcentral
CCUCGUGUGACUGAUGAUAGCACAGCUGCUGAGACUGUGAUUGCUAGUCUCAAAGUAAACGCUCUGACACGCUGCAC